CCUACGGGAGGCAGCAGUGGGGAAUAUUGCACAAUGGGGGGAACCCUGAUGCAGCGACGCCGCGGGAGUGAAGCAGUAUUUCGGUAUGUAAAGCUCUAUCAGCAGGGGAGAAGAUGACGGUACCUGACUAAGAAGCCCCGGCUAACUACGUGCAAGCAGCCGCGGUAAUACGUAGGGGGCAAGCGUUAUCCGGAUUUACUGGGUGUAAAGGGAGCGUAGACGGCAGGGCAAGUCUGGAGUGAAAACCCGGGGCUCAACCCCGGGACUGCUUUGGAAACUGCCAUGCUAGCGUGCUGUAGAGGUAAGCGGAAUUCCUAGUGUAGCGGUGAAAUGCGUAGAUAUUAGGAGGAACACCAGUGGCGAAGGCGGCUUACUGGACAGUAACUGACGUUGAGGCUCGAAAGCGUGGGGAGCAAACAGGAUUAGAUACCCUAGUAGUC
Molecule: ribosomal RNA, 440 nt
Filed under: uncultured bacterium
Lineage: Bacteria
Description: partial 16S ribosomal RNA
Rfam family: Bacterial small subunit ribosomal RNA
Source: RNAcentral